Molecule: unclassified non-coding RNA, 171 nt
Filed under: uncultured Tremella
Lineage: Eukaryota; Fungi; Basidiomycota; Tremellomycetes; Tremellales; Tremellaceae
Description: sequence contains ITS2
Source: RNAcentral
AAUCUCAAUCCCCUCGGGUUUUAUUACCUGGGGUGGACUUGGACUUGGGCGUCUGCCAUCUUGCUUGGCUCGCCUCAAAUGUGUCAGUGGGAUCUAGCAUCCACGGCCCGACGUAAUAAGUUUCGUCUGGUCCGGUGUCUGAGCCUGCUCAUAACCAACCAUAUAUUCUGA